RNAcentral lists this ribosomal RNA (253 nucleotides) under uncultured bacterium. RNAcentral describes it as "partial 16S ribosomal RNA". It matches the Rfam family "Bacterial small subunit ribosomal RNA", at positions 524 to 776 of the family's 1533-position model. The record is from RNAcentral.
UACGGAGGGUGCAAGCGUUAUCCGGAUUCACUGGGUUUAAAGGGUGCGUAGGUGGGUUGGUAAGUCAGUGGUGAAAUCUCCGGGCUUAACCUGGAAACUGCCAUUGAUACUAUCAAUCUUGAAUACCUUGGAGGUGAGCGGAAUAUGUCAUGUAGCGGUGAAAUGCUUAGAUAUGACAUAGAACACCAAUUGCGAAGGCAGCUUACUACCCGAAUAUUGACACUGAGGCACGAAAGCGUGGGGAUCAAACAGG